This 342-nucleotide ribosomal RNA is filed under the name Triticum aestivum (bread wheat). RNAcentral's name for it is "partial small subunit ribosomal RNA". Lineage: Eukaryota; Viridiplantae; Streptophyta; Magnoliopsida; Poales; Poaceae. The record is from RNAcentral.
AUGUCAAAUGCAGUAGAUGCAAACAAAUUGACUGGCAAAAGCUGUAGCAGGAUGGCACCACCUAAAUACCAGGAAUUGGCGGUCCACAAGUGCCAAUCAAAAAGGUUCAGAGAUGAGAAAAUUCAGAGCUUAGAACAGAAGGGAUGCAGGGAGAGGAAGCGAGGGGUUCGUCGCGGCGGACCGGCGGCGCGCCGUGCGCACGCGCGCAAGGCGACGGCGGCAACAGCCCUGCCGGCCGGCCGGCGCAGUGGCUGUGACGGCGGCCCGGCAGUUCGUGUGCGAUCUGCGGAUGCGGCUAUGGCGGAGCAGCGGAGGGGAGGUGCUGGUUCGUCUCGCGUCUAA